Spodoptera frugiperda (fall armyworm) is the source of this 504-nucleotide long non-coding RNA. RefSeq lists it as uncharacterized. The transcript has 2 exons. Lineage: Eukaryota; Metazoa; Arthropoda; Insecta; Lepidoptera; Noctuidae. The record is from RefSeq and is a predicted model, not a curated record.
AUUUGUCACGAAAAUCCAACCAUUCAUACUGAAACUAACAUAAAAAUCAUUGACAUUUCCUGAAUCAAGAAAAAAGAAUUAAAAAAGAAAAUAAAAGAAACCUAUUGGCUAACUGAGAAGGCAAUAAAAAUGUGAAACGUCGCUAUAAACUCCUGCGCAGCUAUUUUAAUUAAAAACGAGCCAAUAUCGUCGAAGCCAAUACGCUGCAACACAUUACAAUAUGAAUAUUUUGUAUUACUUUUUAGCUUGCUUUGUGUUUUUGUUAAGCACUGUGGAAUCUGCGCCUCAGGUUCCUUACGACUACAUCCCAAUAGGGCGCGAUAGUCGCCGGAAUGUUAACCUUGGACACCCACACGACGUGAAUUUGAACUACGAGCGCCUAUUUCCAUCCAGACGCAAAUACAUCGACUCACCCGCCGUACAUUUUGAUCCAGAUCUAGAUUUUGUUAAGAAAUAAUCAUUAUUUUAUUAAUAAAUCGAUUUUUAGUGAUGUGACACACUAUG